UACAGAGGCCUCAAGCGUUGUUCGGAUUCAUUGGGCGUAAAGGGUGCGUAGGUGGCGGGGUUAGUCAGGUGUGAAAUCUCGGAGCUCAACUCCGAAACUGCACUUGAUACUGCCUUGCUUGAGUACUGGAGAGGAGAUUGGAAUUUACGGUGUAGCAGUGAAAUGCGUAGAUAUCGUAAGGAAGACCAGUGGCGAAGGCGAAUCUCUGGACAGUUACUGACACUGAGGCACGAAGGCCAGGGGAGCAAACGGG
Molecule: ribosomal RNA, 253 nt
Filed under: uncultured bacterium
Lineage: Bacteria
Description: partial 16S ribosomal RNA
Rfam family: Bacterial small subunit ribosomal RNA
Source: RNAcentral